GAUCGAAUGGGGAGAUUCAUCGUCAGCUCAUUUUGUAUAUGUAUAGAGUUAUGAUGCAGGUUACUCUUGUAGUAUUGCUUGUACAUACUUGUACAUUUGUUUGCAAGGUGUUGUCGGCGUGCACUUCUCCCCUAGUAGAACGUCGCGACCCGUUGGGUGUUGGUCUAUGACCCAAGUGGUAGCCUUUAUUGUUUAACAACAUUAAUAUGACCCUUGGUGUUUUCUGACUGGCUGCCCGGCGGUACUCACACGGUAUUUAGCCGCAAUUUUAUGCGUCCAUAUCCGUCGCAAGCAGGGCUAAUUUCUGGCAGUACGGACCUAGUGCCGUCGUUGGAGUUAACCAUGCUGUUGGUUACGGUAUUUUAGGACUGGCUAAAAUUAUUACCGGUCGGCGAUGCUACUGCUUUGGGUACUUUCAGGACCCGUCUUGAAACCCGGACCAAGGAGUCUAACAUGUGCGCGAGUCAUUGGGAUUUUUAUUUAAAUUAAACCUAAGGGCGUAAUGAAAGUAAAGGUUGUCCUUGCGUCGACUGAGGGAGGAUAAGUUAUGUUAAGAUAUAGCUUCGCACUCCCGGGGCGUCUCAUUCUCAUUGCGAGAAG
RNAcentral lists this ribosomal RNA (600 nucleotides) under Notiospathius sp. form 16 AZR-2013. Its description in RNAcentral is "eukaryotic LSU rRNA". It matches the Rfam family "Eukaryotic large subunit ribosomal RNA", at positions 480 to 786 of the family's 3401-position model. Lineage: Eukaryota; Metazoa; Arthropoda; Insecta; Hymenoptera; Braconidae. The record is from RNAcentral.